Monopterus albus (swamp eel) is the source of this 195-nucleotide long non-coding RNA. RefSeq lists it as uncharacterized. NCBI's taxonomy places the organism in Eukaryota, Metazoa, Chordata, Actinopteri, Synbranchiformes, Synbranchidae. The record is from RefSeq and is a predicted model, not a curated record. The transcript has 3 exons.
AGGGAAAGCAGCAGCGUGACUGAAAGAGUUGUUUGAAUCCAAGAAGAGACUGGGGUUAACUGUUGGAAAAUGUUAAGUAUGUAGAGCAGGCAUCCCCCCUGUUGAGCAGUCACACACUUAGACAGUACAAAAGAUGGUGUGUUAUUAUCUGGGGCAGCAGGGGUGGCCUGGUUUGUGCCACGUCGAUGGGAGCGG